GUCGAACGGAGUUAUCAUUUUUGAAGCGAUUAGCUUGCUAAGAGUGGAAAAGUUGAUAACUUAGUGGCGGACGGGUGAGUAACGCGUGGGUAACCUGCCUUACACAGGGGGAUAACACUUAGAAAUAGGUGCUAAUACCGCAUAAGCGCACAGUCCCGCAUGGGACAGAGUGAAAAACAUUAGUGGUGUAAGAUGGACCCGCGUCUGAUUAGCUUGUUGGCGGGGUAACGGCCCACCAAGGCGACGAUCAGUAGCCGGCCUGAGAGGGUGGACGGCCACAUUGGGACUGAGACACGGCCCAAACUCCUACGGGAGGCAGCAGUGGGGGAUAUUGGACAAUGGGGGAAACCCUGAUCCAGCGACGCCGCGUGAGUGAAGAAGUAUUUCGGUAUGUAAAGCUCUAUCAGCAGGGAAGAAAGAAAUGACGGUACCUGAGUAAGAAGCCCCGGCUAACUACGUGCCAGCAGCCGCGGUAAUACGUAGGGGGCAAGCGUUAUCCGGAAUUACUGGGUGUAAAGGGAGCGUAGACGGUAAUGCAAGUCUGGAGUGAAAGGCGGGGGCCCAACCCCCGGACUGCUCUGGAAACUGUGUAACUGGAGUGCAGGAGAGGCAGGCGGAAUUCCUAGUGUAGCGGUGAAAUGCGUAGAUAUUAGGAGGAACACCAGUGGCGAAGGCGGCCUGCUGGACUGUAACUGACGUUGAGGCUCGAAAGCGUGGGGAGCAAACAGGAUUAGAUACCCUGGUAGUCCACGCCGUAAACGAUGAUUACUAGGUGUGGGUGGGUAUGGACCCAUCGGUGCCGCAGCAAACGCAGUAAGUAAUCCACCUGGGGAGUACGUUCGCAAGA
Molecule: ribosomal RNA, 847 nt
Filed under: uncultured bacterium
Lineage: Bacteria
Description: bacterial SSU rRNA
Rfam family: Bacterial small subunit ribosomal RNA
Source: RNAcentral